Long non-coding RNA from Oncorhynchus tshawytscha (Chinook salmon), 786 nucleotides. The record is from Ensembl. NCBI's taxonomy places the organism in Eukaryota, Metazoa, Chordata, Actinopteri, Salmoniformes, Salmonidae.
GUGCUACUGCUGUAGCCACUUCCUGGUUACUUUAUCUAGCUAGCAAUUAUUUUAUGUGAAAGGGGAUGAGGUUUUCUGAAGAGGAAAAUCUUCCCAUUGAAACUGGAUGAGAAAUUCAGACAAAAUGAGCUGGAUGCCCUUCAAGAUUGGACAACCAAAAAAGCAGAUUGUUUCCAAAACGGUUGAAAGAGACUUUGAAUGAGAAUAUAACAAGCUCCAAAAAAUUUGGCAGUACGUUGAACCUGGCUUCACAACCGCAGACCACGUGUAGCUACGCCAGCCCAGAAUCUCCACAUCGGGCUUAUUCACCUGCGGGAUCGUCUGAGACCAGCCACCCAGACAGCUGAUGAAACUGGGUUUGCCUUCCCCCUAAAAACCUCUGCACAAACUGUCAGGGAAGCUCAUCUGCGUGCUCGUUGUCCUCGCCAGAGUCUUGACCUAACUGCAGUUCGUCGUCGUGACCGACUUCAGUGGAGGUGUGCUAUUUACGGAUUAAUCCCGGUUUCAAAUGUAUUGUGCAGAUGUCAACGUUGUGAACAGAGUGCCCCAUGGUGGCGGUGGGGUUAUGGUAUGGGCAGGCAUAAGCUACAGACAAUGAACACAAUUGCAUUUUAUCGAUGGAAAUUUGAAUGCACAGAGAUACAGAGACCAGAUCCAGAAAUCAAUUGUGGUGGCAUUCAUCCGCUGCCAUCACCUUAUGUUUCAGCAUGAUAAUGCACGGCCCCAUGUCGCAAGAAUCGGUACACAACUUCUGGAAGCUGAAAAUGUCCCAGUUCUUCCACGGCC